AAACCUCUGCAUAAGACUUGCGGUAAAAGCAAAGAGUAAUGUUUUAGGCAUCUAAGAUUGCAAUACUAACUUUUGGUUUAUUACAUCUCAGACUGAUGAUUCACAUCAUCAUGAUAACUGUCCUGCAGAACCAAGUUAAGGAACACAAUUUAGUGCUUUCAUCAACAGUUGAAUGAUAGGUUGUUAAUAAUCAGUGUGCUCAUUCUGAUUAUUUGGGAAGCAACUGAUCUGUAAGUUGCCCUUUCUCUCUGUUUCCUGGAAGGUCCUGGAGAUGCAAUAAAGGCAGCUUUGCUCCUAGGAUCCUGGCAUAGCCUUGCACGCUGCCAUCUCCAUCUGAGGGCACAAAACACUGCCUGCUUCUAGCCCCACAAAGAACUGACCUCAAGCUGCAGAUAUGUGCUUAGUGAUACAAAGACUUAUACAAAUGUAAAAAAUUGUAAAGCAAGAUCAGCAGGAAAAACAACAACUGCUGUCAGAAACCUGAUUUAUUCUCUGCAAGAUAAACAAAUGCAGCAUUUAUGGAUGUGAAGUUGAAGAUCGUGUCCUGUAGGCAGGUACAAUACCACCUCUGGCAACAUCCAAAUAGUCUGAAAGAAUCAAGCAUCGAAUUUCUUUCAGCAACCUGUAUACAAAAUGACAGAAAACUGAAGACUGCCGUGAAUGGGCCAUACUGCAUGGGAUAAAGCUUGCUGUAAGUGGGAAUCCUCAUAUGAAAACUUUUGCGCGGAAGUGGACCCAAUGUAUCAUUCAUGCAAUGCACAUAAUUUUUAGAGAGGCUCAAAUUCCAAAAACUGAAAUACUUGGAUUCUCCACAGCUCAAGCCUACU
RNAcentral lists this long non-coding RNA (827 nucleotides) under Zonotrichia albicollis (white-throated sparrow). Its description in RNAcentral is "lncRNA (ENSZALG00000016468.1)". Lineage: Eukaryota; Metazoa; Chordata; Aves; Passeriformes; Passerellidae. The record is from RNAcentral.